UACGAAGGGGGCUAGCGUUGCUCGGAAUCACUGGGCGUAAAGCGCACGUAGGCGGAUCGUUAAGUCAGGGGUGAAAUCCUGGAGCUCAACUCCAGAACUGCCUUUGAUACUGGCGAUCUUGAGUUCGGGAGAGGUGAGUGGAACUGCGAGUGUAGAGGUGAAAUUCGUAGAUAUUCGCAAGAACACCAGUGGCGAAGGCGGCUUACUGGUCCGGUUCUGACGCUGAGGCGCGAAAGCGUGGGGAGCAAACAGG
RNAcentral lists this ribosomal RNA (253 nucleotides) under uncultured bacterium. RNAcentral's name for it is "partial 16S ribosomal RNA". It matches the Rfam family "Bacterial small subunit ribosomal RNA", at positions 524 to 776 of the family's 1533-position model. The record is from RNAcentral.